AUACGGAGGGGGUUAGCGUUGUUCGGAAUGACUGGGCGUAAAGCGCGCGUAGGCGGAUCAUGCAAGUCGGGGGUGAAAUCCCGGGGCUCAACCCCGGAAUGGCCUUCGAGACUGCUGGUCUUGAGUUCGAGAGAGGUGAGUGGGAUUCCGAGUGUAGAGGUGAAAUUCGUAGAUAUUCGGAGGAACACCAGUGGCGAAGGCGGCUCACUGGCUCGACACUGACGCUGAGGUGCGAAAGCGUGGGGAGCAAACAGGA
RNAcentral lists this ribosomal RNA (256 nucleotides) under uncultured prokaryote. RNAcentral describes it as "partial 16S ribosomal RNA". It matches the Rfam family "Bacterial small subunit ribosomal RNA", at positions 523 to 777 of the family's 1533-position model. The record is from RNAcentral.